Molecule: non-coding RNA, 29 nt
Filed under: Mus musculus (house mouse)
Lineage: Eukaryota; Metazoa; Chordata; Mammalia; Rodentia; Muridae
Source: RNAcentral
UACCUUAGUCCCACCUUCAUCCUCAGCUC